RNAcentral lists this ribosomal RNA (383 nucleotides) under uncultured bacterium. RNAcentral's name for it is "bacterial SSU rRNA". It matches the Rfam family "Bacterial small subunit ribosomal RNA", at positions 796 to 1176 of the family's 1533-position model. The record is from RNAcentral.
CACGCCGUAAACGAUGGGCACUAGGUGCUUGGGGGAGCGACCCCCUGAGUGCCGGCGCUAACGCAUUAAGUGCCCCGCCUGGGGAGUACGGCCGCAAGGCUGAAACUCAAAGGAAUUGACGGGGGCCCGCACAAGCGGUGGAGCAUGUGGUUUAAUUCGACGCAACGCGAAGAACCUUACCUAGGCUUGACAUGCACGGGAAACGCCUCAGAGACGGGGCGCCCUCUUCGGAGUCCGUGCACAGGUGCUGCAUGGCUGUCGUCAGCUCGUGUCGUGAGAUGUUGGGUUAAGUCCCGCAACGAGCGCAACCCUUGUCCUUAGUUGCCAGCGGGUAAUGCCGGGGACUCUAGGGAGACUGCCGGUGCCAAACCGGAGGAAGGUGG